RNAcentral lists this ribosomal RNA (476 nucleotides) under uncultured bacterium. Its description in RNAcentral is "partial 16S ribosomal RNA". It matches the Rfam family "Bacterial small subunit ribosomal RNA", at positions 30 to 506 of the family's 1533-position model. The record is from RNAcentral.
AUUGAACGCUGGCGGCAUGCCUUACACAUGCAAGUCGAACGGUAACAGGUUAAGCUGACGAGUGGCGAACGGGUGAGUAAUGUAUCGGAACGUGCCCAGUCGUGGGGGAUAACUGCUCGAAAGAGCGGCUAAUACCGCAUACGACCUGAGGGUGAAAGCGGGGGAUCGCAAGACCUCGCGCGAUUGGAGCGGCCGAUAUCAGAUUAGGUAGUUGGUGAGGUAAAGGCUCACCAAGCCGACGAUCUGUAGCUGGUCUGAGAGGACGACCAGCCACACUGGGACUGAGACACGGCCCAGACUCCUACGGGAGGCAGCAGUGGGGAAUUUUGGACAAUGGGCGCAAGCCUGAUCCAGCCAUGCCGCGGGCGGGAAGAAGGCCUUCGGGUUGUAAACCGCUUUUGUCAGGGAAGAAAAGGUUCUGGCUAAUACCUGGGACUCAUGACGGUACCGGAAGAAUAAGCACCGGCUAACUACGU